This is a long non-coding RNA of Oncorhynchus keta (chum salmon), 571 nucleotides long. RefSeq lists it as uncharacterized. The transcript is spliced from 3 exons. The record is from RefSeq and is a predicted model, not a curated record. NCBI's taxonomy places the organism in Eukaryota, Metazoa, Chordata, Actinopteri, Salmoniformes, Salmonidae.
GCUAUCUUUAAUAAGGUCAGACCACACUGAGGUCCCAGCUACACAGAGACAUCUUUAAUAAGGUCAGACCACACUGAGGUCCCAGCUACACAGAGACAUCUUUAAUAAGGUUAGACCACACUGAGGUCCCAGCUACACAGAGACAUCUUUAAUAAGGUCAGACCACACUGAGGUCCCAGCUACACAGAGACAUCUUUAAUAAGGUCAGACCACACUGAGGUCCCAGCUACACAGAGACAUCUUUAAUAAGGUCAGACCACACUGAGGUCCCAGCUACACAGAGACAUCUUUAAUAAGGUCAGACCACACUGAGGUCCCAGCUACACAGAGACAUCUUUAAUAAGGUCAGACCACACUGAGGUCCCAGCUACACAGAGACAUAUUUAAUAAGGUCAGACUACACUGAGGUCCCAGCUAAACAGAGACAUCUUUAAUAAGGUUAGACCACACUGAGGUCCCAGCUACACAGAGACAUCUUUAAUAAGGUCAGACCACACUGAGGUCCCAGCUACACAGAGACAUCUUUAAUAAGGUCAGACCACACUGAGGUCCCAGCUACAGAGACAUCUUU